Molecule: long non-coding RNA, 1867 nt
Organism: Hemibagrus wyckioides
Lineage: Eukaryota; Metazoa; Chordata; Actinopteri; Siluriformes; Bagridae
Exons: 5
Source: RefSeq, a predicted model, not a curated record
GCACCACACACACGGGAGAGUCCGCUCCAGGCUGAAGCUUAGAUCGGCCUGUGAAAGGUCAGACAAAGCCACGUGUAUCUUAAAUAAAUCAGAAAAGCACGGCUGUGCUGGUUUCAUGGGUGGAAAUCCCCCAUGUUGGAAAUAAACUGCCCAGCUCACUGGAUCUUAAAGAAACGCCAUCCCAGGCUUCGCGGACUUACAGAGGAAAACGCGCCAUGGCUGGUGCCACUGACGAUCACGAUUUUUAAACGUUUUUGCCAGUGAAUGUUUCAGAAGUACACACAGUGCUGGUAACGCAUCUUGCGCGGCAGUGAUCUUGCUUGGCAAACACAGAGACGACCACUUAGAUGUGCCCAACAAUCAGGGCACUUAACACUUUGCAUCCUGAGCUCGACAGAAAGGAAUACGCACGGCAUCAUAAAAAGUCUGCUCAUACGAGAUGCUCCUCGUGACUUGUUUCGUGUGUGAAGGGGUCGGUUGCUAUCUUUGGUUAUCUAGCUGUAUGAGUGUUUCUCCUCCGUCAUAAAGCUAGAUAACCGAAAGUAGGAGCGGUCUCCUGUACUGCGCACUGCUCCUGCACUAGAGCAUGAGCAGGAAAAAUACUGACCACUGCGUGGAGAUCUAUCAUAGGGAAGCUCCUUCCGGACUGCAGCAUUUACUUGAGAGACCGGACCAGCAUACACAGGAACAACACCAAGUGCCUCCUCCCUUCAUCAACGGAAGCUUUCGGUGCCAUGUGUGCCCCCCGGAGCAGAGGGCGGGAGAAGAGAAAAAUGAUGUGCAAGAGGCUACAGUUCAUGUGCCAGUGGAGACAAAGAGGCUGCCAGUCGCUACGAUCCCCACAGAUGCUGAAGAUUGGAUCUCUGAAUGAGGGGCUGUGCUUUGAGGAAGCCAUCUUGAUGGAAAGGCUGGCUGCCUGCUUGCUUCCUAAAAUGGCUGUGUUGGCAUGAGGGACUCUGUUGACGACAACACCAAGCUGAUACAGAGAGUACAUCCUAUUCAAAGUCCCUGGGUCAUUUUCAAAUAGAUCAGACACUCUGGUUCCUGAUCUCUUGUACAUUUACAUUUGUAGCAUUUGACAGACACCCAUAUCCAGAGCCUUUUUUUUAUCUAAUUUAUACAACUGAGCAGUUGAAGGCCUUGCUCAAGAGCCCAGCAGCAGGUCCUGAGAUUUAAACUCACAACCUUCCAAUCAGUAGUCCUACACCUUAACCACUGAGCUACCAAUUACUUAGAUAAGAGCUAAUAUCUAUAUCUAAAAUAUAUCUAAUUACUGCUUCUGGCUAUUUUGUAGCAGACAAUCAAAGCAAUUAGCAAAGCAUAUGUUAUUAGAAAACUGGUAUAAAUGCUUUUAUUGCUUCUUGAAUAAACAACCUGACAAUCUGUAUACAAUUUUCUAAUCUGCAAAGGGCAAAGUAUUUAUAUUUAAAUGAAUUAAGUAUAUAAUGAUCAUUUUUUGCAGAACAUUUUAAAUGCUUUUGCAGAAUGCUGGCUAAUAAAAAUGUGCCUUACUGUGUGAACUGUUUACAGUAAAAAUGUAGUUUGAUAUUCACAUUUAAUAGACAACUAUAUAGUUCAUGAACUUGGGAGUAAUUUCUGUUGCUCCUGUUUUAACUGUGCCUUCAGCCUCUUUUGUGAAUAAAUGAAAUGUAUUCCUUUCUGUGAUGAAAAUAUAUCUAUUAAAACUUGUCAUUCUGUUUUCCUUAAAACCUCAGUUGAACAAAAACGAAUUAUGCAUUCAACAUUUUUGUAUAGCUUGUGCUACAAUAUUUUAUUGGCUCUAUUUUUUUAAUAACUAUUGUUUAUUUUAUACUUUACUCAAUGUUAGAUAAAUAAAAAUCAAUAAACAUGUGCAAUAUAAAUAUGA